CAGCUGGGGAACUGGCUACCUGACCACUGACGUUGUCUUGGGUGAUGACAAGGUUAGGGUGGAGUGAAGACAAGGCCUGAGGUUCUGGGGUCCCCUGUAAGUGAGGAGAACGCUGGAGAUUAAUAGAGAAGAGCAACAGAGUGUAGAGUGGUGCAGCCAGAGGCACAAUCCCCCCGCCCCAAACCAGGCUGCUGUUAUGAACCUAACACUCCAUGGAACAUGCUGUGGCAAGUGCUACCUUGGACACCUGAUUCCCAAACCCAGGUGCUGAUUUGUUACACACCCCUCAUCUCCUCACGUCGCUUCCCUUCCCCUCCAGACACACGCACCGCCUCGCUCCUCUUUGACCAUGCAAGGCAUACUUCCACCUCAGGGCCUUUGCAUUUGCUCUUCCUUCUGCCCAGAAUGCUCUUCCCUAUUUACCCCCUCUGCAUUUAGGGCGAGUGACGGGGAGGCCUUCCCUGACCGUCCGAUGCAAAACAGCACCCCGCCCCCGCUUGCUCUUCCCUACAUUCCCUGAUUUGCUUUAUUUUGCUCCGUAGCACAUGCCAUCACCUGCCUGUCUGUGUAUUUGCCUGUCUGUCCGUUGACUGUUUCCCCCUUGGAGAAGGGCUGUUCUCUGCCUCAUCCCCAUCACCUCUGAUAUGGGGUCUACUUCGGAAACAGCAUCAAAUCGUGGCAGAAGGGACUGGAAGUUCCUUUAGGGUCAUGGACAAGAGACCCACCAGGAGCAAGAUGAGAGCCACCACUCCAACGGAGCCAGAAAUGACUGUGGCUGCUGUGCCCAAACUGAGAGAAGCAAACCAGAGAAAUGAGGAUGCUCCACCCGCCUCGGCCAGCUUUGGUGACCAUCCACAGAAUUGUCCUGGGGCCUCCCUACUCCUACAGGAACUCUUCCACCUCUGGGCUCCCACUUCCCCAAAACCCACCUCCUGCCUCCAUUUUGAGCCUCUCUCCUCUGCUCCGACCUCCAGAGCCAUGGUCCCAGUCACACCCAUCCCCCUUCUGGGCCAAGCAGGCUGCUUCCCACAGCCCCCGACACUUCUCAUCCGUAGGUCCAGCUCUCCUCUCAACUACCUGCUGAGUUCAUCAGGUUUGAUCUCUGGCUUCAGCGUCGUGAGGUUCUCUACAGAAAGGGGCAGAAAGGAAGUAGAAAGGAAAUUUGAGAGUAAUUUUUACACACAUGCUCUUGACUGAAUGUCUCCUGCUGAAAUUCGUAUGUUAAAUCCUAGCCCCCAACGUGAAGGUAUUAGGAAAUGGGUCCUUUGGGAGGUAGUAGGUCAUGAGGGUAGAGCCCUCAUGAAUAGGAUUAGUGCCCUGAUAAAAGAGACCCCGUAGGGGGUGCCUGGGUGGCUCAGUCGGUUAAACGUCCGACUUCAGCUCAGGUCACGAUCUCACGGUCCGCGAGUUCGAGCCCCGCGUCGGGCUCUGGGCUGAUGGCUCAGAGCCUGGAGCUUGCUUCCGAUUCUGUGUCUCCCUCUCUCUGCCCCUCCCCCGUUCAUGCUGUGUCUCUCUCUCUGUCUCAAAAAUAAAUAAACGUUAAAAAAAAAAAAAAGAGACCCCGUGGAUCCCCCCUGACCCCCUCUACCAUGUGAGGACACAGUGAGAAGACAGCUGUCUAUGACCCAGGAUGUGGGCUCUCACCAGACACUGAAUGUGCCAGUGCUUUAA
Long non-coding RNA from Panthera uncia (snow leopard), 1671 nucleotides. RefSeq lists it as uncharacterized. The transcript is spliced from 3 exons. The record is from RefSeq and is a predicted model, not a curated record. NCBI's taxonomy places the organism in Eukaryota, Metazoa, Chordata, Mammalia, Carnivora, Felidae.